This 538-nucleotide ribosomal RNA is filed under the name uncultured bacterium. Its description in RNAcentral is "bacterial SSU rRNA". It matches the Rfam family "Bacterial small subunit ribosomal RNA", at positions 777 to 1314 of the family's 1533-position model. The record is from RNAcentral.
AAUAGAUACCCCGGUAGUCCACGCCGUAAACGAUGUCGACUUGGAGGUUGUGCCCUUGAGGCGUGGCUUCCGGAGCUAACGCGUUAAGUCGACCGCCUGGGGAGUACGGCCGCAAGGUUAAAACUCAAAUGAAUUGACGGGGGCCCGCACAAGCGGUGGAGCAUGUGGUUUAAUUCGAUGCAACGCGAAGAACCUUACCUACUCUUGACAUCCAGAGAACUUAGCAGAGAUGCUUUGGUGCCUUCGGGAACUCUGAAACAGGUGCUGCAUGGCUGUCGUCAGCUCGUGUUGUGAAAUGUUGGGUUAAGUCCCGCAACGAGCGCAACCCUUAUCCUUUGUUGCCAGCGGUUCGGCCGGGAACUCAAAGGAGACUGCCAGUGAUAAACUGGAGGAAGGUGGGGAUGACGUCAAGUCAUCAUGGCCCUUACGAGUAGGGCUACACACGGUGCUACAAUGGCAUAUACAAAGAGAAGCGACCUCGCGAGAGCAAGCGGACCUCAUAAAGUAUGUCGUAGUCCGGAUUGGAGUCUGCUAACCG